RNAcentral lists this ribosomal RNA (406 nucleotides) under uncultured Myxococcales bacterium. RNAcentral's name for it is "bacterial SSU rRNA". It matches the Rfam family "Bacterial small subunit ribosomal RNA", at positions 355 to 776 of the family's 1533-position model. The record is from RNAcentral. Lineage: Bacteria; Pseudomonadati; Myxococcota; Myxococcia; Myxococcales.
UGGGGAAUAUUGCGCAAUGGGGGAAACCCUGACGCAGCCACGCCGCGUGGGUGAUGAAGGCCUUCGGGUUGUAAAGCCCUGUCGGGAGGGACGAAUUCUUGACGGUACCUCCAAAGAAAGCACCGGCUAACUCCGUGCCAGCAGCCGCGGUAAUACGGAGGGUGCGAGCGUUGCUCGGAAUUACUGGGCGUAAAGCGUACGCAGGCCGCUGUGCAAGUCGGGUGUGAAAGCCCGGGGCUCAACCCCGGAAAUGCGCCCGAGACUGCAUGGCUUGAAUGCGGGAGAGGAUAGCGGAAUUCCUGGUGUAGAGGUGAAAUUCGUAGAUAUCAGGAGGAACACCUGUGGCGAAAGCGGCUAUCUGGCCCGACAUUGACGCUCAUGUACGAAAGCGCGGGGAGCAAACAGG